GUGAUUAGACUAUGUGCUGACUAUAAUAGACAGUACUAUGUGUUAUGAUAUAUUAUUCUAAUCGAACGAAUGAUCUGAUUAUUGAUAGGUUGUGAUAAAAGAGAUAGAAUCUAAGUUGAGAUUUGUAAUCAGCAAAUCAGGCAAGUAUCCUACCUUUGCAUUUUCUUUAUGCAAUGGACAUGAGUAAGAGAGUUUCAGAAUUAUUCUAUUCUUGUACAAAUUAUGUACGCUUUGAUUAUCAACAUGUUAGCUCAG
Molecule: long non-coding RNA, 255 nt
Filed under: Panax ginseng (ginseng)
Lineage: Eukaryota; Viridiplantae; Streptophyta; Magnoliopsida; Apiales; Araliaceae
Description: long non-coding RNA (PGIN_LNC010863)
Source: RNAcentral